GCCGGUCCUUAGAGCGAAGUGGAACGACCCGUUCCCAUUCCGAACACGGAAGUCAAACACUUCAGCGCCGACGAUAGUUGAUCCGCAAGGAUCUGCGAAAAUAGGUCAGGGCUGGCC
This 117-nucleotide ribosomal RNA is filed under the name Microgenomates group bacterium RBG_19FT_COMBO_39_10. The record is from RNAcentral.